CCCUUGGAUCCUAGCCACCAUGCUGUGAAGAAGCCAUGUGGUACAAAGAAAGAUGUGGGUUUUUUGGUGGCAACUCUGGCUGAUAAAUAGCUUUCAGAAAUGUUCCAAGAUGAAGAUUCACUAGCUUCACUAGCUAGCUUAUCAUAAUCUUCUCAGAUGGAUGGAAGGAGACCAAGAAAUCAAGCUGAAAUACAUAGCAUAUGUAAUAAUCACCAUACCUAAAAGUCAAAGGUCCAGCAUGUUGUAGGAACAGUAUCUGAGAAUGUUAUAUAGUUUAUUAGGAGCUAAAACUGUCAACUUAAACUUAUGAAAUGCCAGCAAACAUCAUAUAUAAAAGUUAAUUUAAUAACAAUAUAACAUUCAAAUACCAUUUAAAAAUUGUCAUCAAGGCUUUUAAAAGUCAACAAUGUUUUUAAAAGUUUAAACAUUUUGUUUUAUUUUCCACUGUAAAAGUAAACAAACUGUAUCAUAUGAUAGCUAAAUACUAUCUAAAAUAGUAAUAUGUACAUCAGACAAUAAUAACUAGAUGAAUAAAGAUUCAAAAGGCAAUAUAUUAUAGCACGUGAGUCAUUAGGCUUUGCUAAAAGCCAAACAUGUCUAACACUGUCCCACCUGAUGACCUUUUUCCUUGGUAUUCCCUCUACCAGGAGUCCUCUACCCAGAUAUCUGCAUGGUUCUUUUCUUAUUUCAUUCAGGUCUUUGUUCAAUGUCAUUUUGUUAGAGGGAUCUUCUCUAAAAAUUUUUUUUUAUGUGUUGGCAAUUGAACACCAAUAAAAAAUAAAUUUAUUUUUUAAAAAAGAACCCUCUAAACCCAACAUUAACAGCACAAGAAAGGGAAAAAAAAAUGGAUCUCUCUAAUCACCUUCACUAAAAUAGUGUACUUUUAGAGCUUUGCUUUCAGGAAAUGUACUGGAUUCCUUUAAGAAUCAAGCCAAUAAGAAGCUUAUUUGGGAAAAUAUCACCCAUUGCCUUAAAAAAUAGUAAGCCAAGAGAAGGAGUAAGUGGCUUAUAGAAGGUGGCUCGCUACCUCAUAGGCCUCACUGGCUCAGAGUUCUAUUGUGUCACUUUGCCUACCUCAGUGUCAUGAAAAUCCACAAACAGAUGAGGCAAGAGAUUGAGGAUACAUCCAUUAUCAAUCUUUUAUAAAUGACCCAGGCUAAAAAUAGGAACCGUCUCUUAAACACUGUCAAUCUUGGGAAAAGAAAGAAGACUGUGAGAGGAAGGGAAGGCAGCUACAAAGGGAGAGGGAGAGAGAAAAUCUUCAGGAGG
Long non-coding RNA from Canis lupus familiaris (dog), 1269 nucleotides. RefSeq lists it as uncharacterized. NCBI's taxonomy places the organism in Eukaryota, Metazoa, Chordata, Mammalia, Carnivora, Canidae. The transcript is spliced from 6 exons. The record is from RefSeq and is a predicted model, not a curated record.